RNAcentral lists this microRNA precursor (89 nucleotides) under Chlorocebus sabaeus (green monkey). Its description in RNAcentral is "miRNA (ENSCSAG00000020757.1)". Lineage: Eukaryota; Metazoa; Chordata; Mammalia; Primates; Cercopithecidae. The record is from RNAcentral.
GCAUCCGUAAGUGCGUGUAUUGCAGCAGCAGCAGCAGCAGCAGCAGCAGCAGCAGCAGCAGCAGCAGCAGCAGCAGCAGCAGCGCAGGU